UUAGCUUCUUGCUGCGUCAUGGAGAAGAUCCGAGCUGGAACUGAUGGACCUUCACCUAGGGAACCUGCUGAAGAAGGGGCCAUCCCCCUUCCUCUGCCUCGACCACUACCCUGAAACAUGGCUGGAGCUGAUGGUUGUGCCAUACUGCCUGGAGUUGUCUGAUGGGACGGUGCCAUAAAAGCUGCCUUAGGACACUCCCGAGCUAUGUGUCCCUCCUGGCCGCAUCUGUAACAUGCUGUAGUCCCAAACCGACAGACUCCCUUGUGCGGCCUACCGCACCUUGCACACUCCGCGACCUCUGUGCCUGAGCUCGAGCCUCCUCCUAAUCUCAGACCAGACUUUAUCUGAUUCCAGAACUUAUUCUUCUUUGACCUUCUGAGACCUCUGUCUCCCUUCUUACUUUUCGUGACAUCCUCACCUAGAGAGGAGAGAUUUGCAUCACUUGUCCCCAGGAUUUUGAGACCCGAAGACUAUGCCACUGACUGCUUAACUGUCCCUUGGAUAAUGGCACUAGCCUCCAUUCUCCAUGCCAUAUCUACUAUAGCAUGGAAGCUCUCCCUUUCUGCUGAUUGAAUCAACGAGGAAUACCUGGAGUGAAGCUUCAUAACAUAUCUUCUAGACUUCUUCAGGUCUGUGUCAAGACCUUGUCCUGCAAACGGCAACAGCUCCAGGAACCUGUCUGUAAACUCAUCUACACUCAUCUCUUCCGUCUGUCUUAG
This 719-nucleotide long non-coding RNA is filed under the name Manihot esculenta (cassava). Its description in RNAcentral is "long non-coding RNA (MESC_LNC007782)". Lineage: Eukaryota; Viridiplantae; Streptophyta; Magnoliopsida; Malpighiales; Euphorbiaceae. The record is from RNAcentral.